RNAcentral lists this ribosomal RNA (549 nucleotides) under Russula ornaticeps. RNAcentral describes it as "mitochondrial SSU rRNA". It matches the Rfam family "Bacterial small subunit ribosomal RNA", at positions 359 to 952 of the family's 1533-position model. The record is from RNAcentral. Lineage: Eukaryota; Fungi; Basidiomycota; Agaricomycetes; Russulales; Russulaceae.
GAAUAUUAGUCAAUGCUCGAAAGAGUGAACUAGCUAACUGAAAUCAAUUAAAAAUUGAUAACAUAAGGGAAAAUAAUGAUAUUACCUUAUUAUUAGUGUCGUCCAAAACUGGUGCCAGAAGACUCGGUAAGGCCAGAGACACAAACGUUAAUCGUCUUAAUCAGGCGUAAAGGGUUUGUAGGCGGCUUUUAAUUUACUUAUAUAUAUUAUAAAAUAAGUUAAGAAUAAAAGCUAGAAUCAAAUAGAGGAUAUAUCAAAUAAUGCUUAGAGUAGGUCUGAUAUCCUUAGAUACUAAGUAGAAUAUUAAAGGCGAAAGCUUUUUUCCAUAAAUGAUUGACGCUCAGAAACGAAGGUGAGGAUAGGAAAUAGGAUUAGAUACCCAAAAUACCCCUCUCUGUCAACGAUGAAUGGUAAUUAUUAAUAAUAAAUUUAUUAUUAAUGGCAAUGUUAACACGAUAACCAUUCCGCCUUGUGAGUACAACUGCAAAGUUGAAAACAAAAAAAUUAGUCGGUUUCGGAGCAAACGAAGUGAAGCAUGUUAUUUAAUUC